CACACACACAUCAUCCAGCACACGCAGUCACACACACAUCCUCCAGCACUCACACACACACAUCAUCCAGCACACGCAGUCACACACACAUCAUCCAGCACUCACACACACAUCAUCCAGCACACGCACACACUGCAUUCAUUAUACACACUCUUCACUCACUAAAAACACACUACAUUAACUAUACACUCACUACAAACAUACUACAUUCACUAUACACACUCUGCAUUCAUUAUACACAUUCUGCACUCAC
Non-coding RNA from Pelobates cultripes (western spadefoot toad), 253 nucleotides. The record is from the annotation of a GenBank genome assembly. NCBI's taxonomy places the organism in Eukaryota, Metazoa, Chordata, Amphibia, Anura, Pelobatidae.